UUUCAGUUUUUUUUAUAUAUAUUGAUUUGACUUCGUCUUAUUUGAAAGUUUUUUAUGAUUAAUAUUUUUAUUUUUACUAGAUGAUAAAACUCGAAUAGUAUUUAUGCGUGACUAUUUUUUUUAAGUUUUUAUAUAAAUAUUUUAAAUAAGACGAAUGGUCAUACGAUAAACACAGGAAUUGAACAAUGAAGUUAUU
RNAcentral lists this microRNA precursor (196 nucleotides) under Oryza brachyantha (malo sina). RNAcentral describes it as "MIR812 microRNA precursor family". It matches the Rfam family "MIR812 microRNA precursor family". Lineage: Eukaryota; Viridiplantae; Streptophyta; Magnoliopsida; Poales; Poaceae. The record is from Rfam by way of RNAcentral.